Non-coding RNA from Heterocephalus glaber (naked mole-rat), 288 nucleotides. NCBI's taxonomy places the organism in Eukaryota, Metazoa, Chordata, Mammalia, Rodentia, Bathyergidae. The record is from Rfam.
GGAUGUGAGGGUGAUCUGGCCGCGACAUCUGUCACCCCACUGAGUGCCAGGGUUGAUUCGGCCCAUCUGGCUGGCUAGGCGGCGUCCCCUUCCUCCUUCACUGCUCCACGUGUGUCCCUCCGCGAAGCUUGGCUGAAGUGGAUUAGCAUUCCUGAUAGAGGACUGUUUCCUCAGUCAAGAGUAUUCGAGUAGCUGCGUUCCCCUGCUAGAAACUCCAAACAAGCUCUUAAAAAGUUAUCAAACCUGGUCCCGGAAUUUAGCUCAGUGGUGCCGCUGCCUGACUCUCAA